RNAcentral lists this long non-coding RNA (375 nucleotides) under Salvia miltiorrhiza (redroot sage). Its description in RNAcentral is "long non-coding RNA (SMIL_LNC001075)". The record is from RNAcentral. Lineage: Eukaryota; Viridiplantae; Streptophyta; Magnoliopsida; Lamiales; Lamiaceae.
UUUUUUUGAUCGGAAAAAGAUUUUAUAAAUCACCAAAAGAGGUACCAGAGGUACCAGAAAAGUUACAACACAAGAGAGUGAAUUUCCUGAGUCAUCCAAAAGGAAAACUUGUUGUCCUUGUCCACCAUCCCAAACACUUUACACCAACUCCACAUUCUAGCUUUAAGCUCCCCCAUCAUGCUCUUGAUUUCUCCAUUCUUGCAUUCGAAUCUACCUUCAUUUCGCCACUUCCACAUGAGCCAAACGUAGCAAACCCAAAGUGCCGAAAGAAAGUUCCAGCUCCUCUUACUCCUGCCCAAAUGAGUGAAGGAUUCAAAAUGUGUGAUUAAAGAAUGGUGUCGCACGUCUGAAAUUCCCAGCCACUUUUGAAUUUCA